This 1789-nucleotide ribosomal RNA is filed under the name Escherichia coli. RNAcentral's name for it is "partial 23S ribosomal RNA". It matches the Rfam family "Bacterial large subunit ribosomal RNA", at positions 1075 to 2843 of the family's 2925-position model. Lineage: Bacteria; Pseudomonadati; Pseudomonadota; Gammaproteobacteria; Enterobacterales; Enterobacteriaceae. The record is from RNAcentral.
GUGGGAAGGCCCAGACAGCCAGGAUGUUGGCUUAGAAGCAGCCAUCAUUUAAAGAAAGCGUAAUAGCUCACUGGUCGAGUCGGCCUGCGCGGAAGAUGUAACGGGGCUAAACCAUGCACCGAAGCUGCGGCAGCGACGCUGAUGCGUUGUUGGGUAGGGGAGCGUUCUGUAAGCCUGUGAAGGUGUGCUGUGAGGCAUGCUGGAGGUAUCAGAAGUGCGAAUGCUGACAUAAGUAACGAUAAAGCGGGUGAAAAGCCCGCUCGCCGGAAGACCAAGGGUUCCUGUCCAACGUUAAUCGGGGCAGGGUGAGUCGACCCCUAAGGCGAGGCCGAAAGGCGUAGUCGAUGGGAAACAGGUUAAUAUUCCUGUACUUGGUGUUACUGCGAAGGGGGGACGGAGAAGGCUAUGUUGGCCGGGCGACGGUUGUCCCGGUUUAAGCGUGUAGGCUGGUUUUCCAGGCAAAUCCGGAAAACUAAGGCUGAGGCGUGAUGACGAGGCACUACGGUGCUGAAGCAACAAAUGCCCUGCUUCCAGGAAAAGCCUCUAAGCAUCAGGUAACAUCAAAUCGUACCCCAAACCGACACAGGUGGUCAGGUAGAGAAUACCAAGGCGCUUGAGAGAACUCGGGUGAAGGAACUAGGCAAAAUGGUGCCGUAACUUCGGGAGAAGGCACGCUGAUAUGUAGGUGAAGUCCCUCGCGGAUGGAGCUGAAAUCAGUCGAAGAUACCAGCUGGCUGCAACUGUUUAUUAAAAACACAGCACUGUGCAAACACGAAAGUGGACGUAUACGGUGUGACGCCUGCCCGGUGCCGGAAGGUUAAUUGAUGGGGUCAGCGCAAGCGAAGCUCUUGAUCGAAGCCCCGGUAAACGGCGGCCGUAACUAUAACGGUCCUAAGGUAGCGAAAUUCCUUGUCGGGUAAGUUCCGACCUGCACGAAUGGCGUAAUGAUGGCCAGGCUGUCUCCACCCGAGACUCAGUGAAAUUGAACUCGCUGUGAAGAUGCAGUGUACCCGCGGCAAGACGGAAAGACCCCGUGAACCUUUACUAUAGCUUGACACUGAACAUUGAGCCUUGAUGUGUAGGAUAGGUGGGAGGCUUUGAAGUGUGGACGCCAGUCUGCAUGGAGCCGACCUUGAAAUACCACCCUUUAAUGUUUGAUGUUCUAACGUUGACCCGUAAUCCGGGUUGCGGACAGUGUCUGGUGGGUAGUUUGACUGGGGCGGUCUCCUCCUAAAGAGUAACGGAGGAGCACGAAGGUUGGCUAAUCCUGGUCGGACAUCAGGAGGUUAGUGCAAUGGCAUAAGCCAGCUUGACUGCGAGCGUGACGGCGCGAGCAGGUGCGAAAGCAGGUCAUAGUGAUCCGGUGGUUCUGAAUGGAAGGGCCAUCGCUCAACGGAUAAAAGGUACUCCGGGGAUAACAGGCUGAUACCGCCCAAGAGUUCAUAUCGACGGCGGUGUUUGGCACCUCGAUGUCGGCUCAUCACAUCCUGGGGCUGAAGUAGGUCCCAAGGGUAUGGCUGUUCGCCAUUUAAAGUGGUACGCGAGCUGGGUUUAGAACGUCGUGAGACAGUUCGGUCCCUAUCUGCCGUGGGCGCUGGAGAACUGAGGGGGGCUGCUCCUAGUACGAGAGGACCGGAGUGGACGCAUCACUGGUGUUCGGGUUGUCAUGCCAAUGGCACUGCCCGGUAGCUAAAUGCGGAAGAGAUAAGUGCUGAAAGCAUCUAAGCACGAAACUUGCCCCGAGAUGAGUUCUCCCUGACUCCUUGAGAGUCCUGAAGGAACGUUGAAG